Non-coding RNA from Acanthosepion pharaonis, 114 nucleotides. NCBI's taxonomy places the organism in Eukaryota, Metazoa, Mollusca, Cephalopoda, Sepiida, Sepiidae. The record is from the annotation of a GenBank genome assembly.
UUACGGCCAUAUCAUGUUGAAUCAUCGGUUCCCCUACGAUCAACGAAGUAAAGCAAGAUCGAGCCAGGUCAGUACCUAGAUAAGUGACCAUUUCGGAAUACCAAAUGCUGUAAG